Molecule: ribosomal RNA, 439 nt
Filed under: uncultured bacterium
Lineage: Bacteria
Description: partial 16S ribosomal RNA
Rfam family: Bacterial small subunit ribosomal RNA
Source: RNAcentral
CCUACGGGAGGCAGCAGUGGGGAAUAUUGCACAAUGGGCGAAAGCCUGAUGCAGCAACGCCGCGUGAGCGAUGAAGGCCUUCGGGUCGUAAAGCUCUGUCCUCAAGGAAGAUAAUGACGGUACUUGAGGAGGAAGCCCCGGCUAACUACGUGCCAGCCGCCGCGGUAAUACGUAGGGGGCUAGCGUUAUCCGGAAUUACUGGGCGUAAAGGGUGCGUAGGUGGUUUCUUAAGUCAGAGGUGAAAGGCUACGGCUCAACCGUAGUAAGCCUUUGAAACUGGGGAACUUGAGUGCAGGAGAGGAGAGUGGAAUUCCUAGUGUAGCGGUGAAAUGCGUAGAUAUCGGGAGGAACAUCAGUGGCGAAGGCGACUAGCUGGCACAUAACUGACGCUGAGGAGCGAAAGCGUGGGUAGCAAACAGGAUUAGAUACCCCAGUAGUC